Molecule: ribosomal RNA, 570 nt
Filed under: Bipolaris sorokiniana
Lineage: Eukaryota; Fungi; Ascomycota; Dothideomycetes; Pleosporales; Pleosporaceae
Description: eukaryotic LSU rRNA
Rfam family: 5.8S ribosomal RNA (bases 194-347)
Source: RNAcentral
GGGACCUGCGGAGGGAUCAUUACACAACAAAAUAUGAAGGCCUGGCUUCGCGGCCGGCUGAAAUAUUUUUUUCACCCAUGUCUUUUGCGCACUUGUUGUUUCCUGGGCGGGUUCGCCCGCCACCAGGACCAAACCAUAAACCUUUUUUUUAUGCAGUUGCAAUCAGCGUCAGUAAAAACAAUGUAAUUAUUACAACUUUCAACAACGGAUCUCUUGGUUCUGGCAUCGAUGAAGAACGCAGCGAAAUGCGAUACGUAGUGUGAAUUGCAGAAUUCAGUGAAUCAUCGAAUCUUUGAACGCACAUUGCGCCCUUUGGUAUUCCAAAGGGCAUGCCUGUUCGAGCGUCAUUUGUACCUUCAAGCUUUGCUUGGUGUUGGGCGUUUUUUGUCUCCCUCUUUCUGGGAGACUCGCCUUAAAACGAUUGGCAGCCGGCCUACUGGUUUCGGAGCGCAGCACAUAUUUUGCGCUUUGUAUCAGGAGAAAAGGACGGUAAUCCAUCAAGACUCUACAUUUUUAACUUUUGACCUCGGAUCAGGUAGGGAUACCCGCUGAACUUAAGCAUAUCAAAAG